This 1163-nucleotide ribosomal RNA is filed under the name coccoid cyanobacterium CMT-3BRIN-NPC52. Its description in RNAcentral is "bacterial SSU rRNA". It matches the Rfam family "Bacterial small subunit ribosomal RNA", at positions 356 to 1532 of the family's 1533-position model. The record is from RNAcentral. Lineage: Bacteria; Bacillati; Cyanobacteriota.
GGGGAAUUUUCCGCAAUGGGCGAAAGCCUGACGGAGCAAUACCGCGUGAGGGAGGAAGGCUCUUGGGUUGUAAACCUCUUUUCUCAGGGAAGAACACAAUGACGGUACCUGAGGAAUAAGCAUCGGCUAACUCCGUGCCAGUAGCCGCGGUAAUACGGAGGAUGCAAGCGUUAUCCGGAAUGAUUGGGCGUAAAGCGUUCGUAGGUGGUCCUUCAAGUCUGCUGUCAAAGCGCAGGGCUUAACUCUGUACAGGCGGUGGAAACUGAAGAGCUAGAGUGCGGUAGGGGUAGAGGGAAUUCCCGGUGUAGCGGUGAAAUGCGUAGAGAUCGGGAAGAACACCAGCAGCGAAAGCGCUCUACUGGGCCUGCACUGACACUGAGGGACGAAAGCUAGGGGAGCGAAUGGGAUUAGAUACCCCAGUAGUCCUAGCCGUAAACGAUGGAUACUAGGUGUUGCCUGUAUCGACCCGGGCAGUGCCGUAGCUAACGCGUUAAGUAUCCCGCCUGGGGAGUACGCGCGCAAGCGUGAAACUCAAAGGAAUUGACGGGGGCCCGCACAAGCGGUGGAGUAUGUGGUUUAAUUCGAUGCAACGCGAAGAACCUUACCAGGGCUUGACAUGUCGCGAACCUCAGGGAAACUUGAGGGUGCCUUCGGGAGCGCGAACACAGGUGGUGCAUGGCUGUCGUCAGCUCGUGUCGUGAGAUGUUGGGUUAAGUCCCGCAACGAGCGCAACCCUCGUCCUAAGUUGCCAGCAUUAAGUUGGGCACUCUGAGGAGACUGCCGGUGACAAACCGGAGGAAGGUGGGGAUGACGUCAAGUCAGCAUGCCCCUUACGUCCUGGGCUACACACGUACUACAAUGCUACGGACAAAGGGCAGCCAGACAGCAAUGUCGAGCAAAUCCCAUAAACCGUGGCACAGUUCAGAUUGCAGGCUGCAACUCGCCUGCAUGAAGGUGGAAUCGCUAGUAAUCGCAGGUCAGCAUACUGCGGUGAAUCCGUUCCCGGGCCUUGUACACACCGCCCGUCACACCAUGGAAGCUGGCUUAGCCCGAAGUCGUUACCCUAACCCGCAAGGGAGGGGGACGCCGAAGGCAGGGCUGGUGACUGGGGUGAAGUCGUAACAAGGUAGCCGUACCGGAAGGUGUGGCUGGAUCACCUCCUU